GGUGAGAUGGCCGAGUGGUUAUGGCGCUGCGUUCAGGACCUAUCUGAACAAAUUUCGCAGUGGAGCAAUCCGCGUGGGUUCGAGUCCCACUCUCAUCA
RNAcentral lists this transfer RNA (98 nucleotides) under Xylaria castorea. RNAcentral's name for it is "tRNA-Leu". It matches the Rfam family "tRNA". Rfam says of the family: Transfer RNA (tRNA) molecules are approximately 80 nucleotides in length. Their secondary structure includes four short double-helical elements and three loops (D, anti-codon, and T loops). The record is from RNAcentral. Lineage: Eukaryota; Fungi; Ascomycota; Sordariomycetes; Xylariales; Xylariaceae.